GAUGAAGUACGCAGCGAAAUGCGAUACUUGGUGUGAAUUGCAGAAUCCCGUGAACCAUCGAGUCUUUGAACGCAAGUUGCGCCCGAAGCCAUUAGGCCGAGGGCACGCCUGCCUGGGCGUCACACGUCGUUGCCCCCCCAUCUACUCCUUCGGGAUUGCGGGGGGCGGAUGAUGGCCUCCCGUGCGCCUCGCCGCGCGGUUGGCAUAAAUGCCAAGUCCUCGGCGACGCACGCCACGACAAUCGGUGGUUGCGAAACCUCGGUUGCCCGUCGUGUGCGGUCGUCGCGCAUCGAGGGCUCGAAAAAAUUGCCGGGUUCCGGCUCGGCUUUCAACGCGACCCCAGGUCAGGCGGGGUUACCCGCUGAAUUUAAGCAUAUCAAUAAGCGGAGGA
This 391-nucleotide unclassified non-coding RNA is filed under the name soil metagenome. Its description in RNAcentral is "partial contains 5.8S ribosomal RNA, internal transcribed spacer 2, and large subunit ribosomal RNA". The stretch from base 1 to 122 matches the Rfam family "5.8S ribosomal RNA", at positions 35 to 154 of the family's 154-position model. The record is from RNAcentral.